RNAcentral lists this long non-coding RNA (605 nucleotides) under Elaeis guineensis (African oil palm). RNAcentral's name for it is "long non-coding RNA (EGUI_LNC048449)". The record is from RNAcentral. Lineage: Eukaryota; Viridiplantae; Streptophyta; Magnoliopsida; Arecales; Arecaceae.
CCUGGUUUGGUCAAUGAUAAUAGGAAGGCACAAGAUGUCUCCAUGGAUAAAACCUAUUAUCUUUAUGGCUUGAUAGGAUGUAGGAAGAAUAAUUACAAGGAUUACCUUAUAAUCUUGAAGCAGGAUGCAAGUGUUGCACCGAAAGAUAUGUAUAUGAUAUAGACUUAUUUUUCAUUGAGUACAUCAGACUCUGAUACUUGGGUAUUGGAUACUGCCUGUAGAUCGCAUAUAUACAAUUCAUUACAAUGACUAUAGAAUAUCAAAGGUCUGAAAAAAGGUAACCUAGAGCUUUAUGGUGCAAGUGGAGAGUCUAUUAGUGUAGAGGCUGUAGGAACCUACAUGCUUAAUUUACCUUCGGAUAAGAUUUUAAAAUUAAAAGACUAUUAUUACAUACCUAGGUUAUUAGAAAUAUUAUUUUUAUACCUUUGUUAUUAAAUUAAGGUUAUGAAAUAAAGUUAAUGGGCAAUGGUUGCUCUGUUUCUUUUUUUAAUAAAUUUUAUAGCAGUGGUUAUAUUGAUAACAACCUUUUACUUCUAGCACUCAAUAAAAAUAUCUUUCUUAUUGAUAAAAAUAUGAAAAGAAAGAGAGAAGAUAUAAAUAUUAAA